CCGCCUACCUCUGCCUCUACUGACCUGCUGCUCCGUGGUGCUUGGCUGGCGCUUCUGAUAUUGUCGCCGGAGUUCUGAGGCCACCGGAACCACUGCCGGAGCUUCUGGCUACUUCUGCCGUUGCCGGAAAAAUUGCCGUUGAUCCACCGGAGCUUCUGGCCGCCGCCGGAGCUGCUGCCGGGCCGGUUCAAAAUCGCAGCUGCUUCGUGUUGAAAUUCCGAGCUGAUUAUGCUGCUGCGAAAAUGUGUGAGGCUGUGCUUUGAAGCUGCCUUUGAUUUUGAGUUGAGGCGAAAAGAACUUAUGAGGCGUUUGGGUUAUGGAAUUUGCGUUUUGAGGAUAUGGGCGCAGAAGUUACGAAGAGUUUAUUUAGUUUUUGUUGAGAUGCUCUGUAUUGCUUUGGAUUA
Non-coding RNA from Arachis ipaensis, 404 nucleotides. NCBI's taxonomy places the organism in Eukaryota, Viridiplantae, Streptophyta, Magnoliopsida, Fabales, Fabaceae. The record is from RefSeq and is a predicted model, not a curated record.